CAAUAGCGUAUAUUUAAGUUGUUGCAGUUAAAAAGCUCGUAGUUGGAUUUCGGGUGGGACGCAGCGGUCUCGCAUUGCGUUUGUACUGCUGCAGCCCUCCUUCUUGCCGGGGGCGGCCUCUCGGACUUCACUGUCUGGGGGUCAGAAUCGGCGAUGUUACUUUGAGUAAAUUAGAGUGUUCAAAGCAAGCUUACGCUCUGAAUAUAAUAGCAUGGGAUAACACGACAGGACUCUGGCCUAUCGUGUUGGUCUAUAGGACCAGAGUAAUGAUUAAGAGGGACAGUCGGGGGCAUUCGUAUUCCAUUGUCAGAGGUGAAAUUCUUGGAUUUAUGAAAGACGAACUUCUGCGAAAGCAUUUGUCAAGGAUGUUUUCAUUAA
RNAcentral lists this ribosomal RNA (378 nucleotides) under uncultured eukaryote. RNAcentral describes it as "partial 18S ribosomal RNA". It matches the Rfam family "Eukaryotic small subunit ribosomal RNA", at positions 592 to 976 of the family's 1831-position model. The record is from RNAcentral.